AGCGGCGGACGGGUGAGUAACGCGUAGGAAUCUACCUGGUAGUGGGGGACAACUCGGGGAAACUCGAGCUAAUACCGCAUACGCCCUACGGGGGAAAGGUGGCCUCUAUUUAUAAGCUAUCGCUAUUGGAUGAGCCUGCGUUGGAUUAGCUAGUUGGUAGGGUAAGAGCCUACCAAGGCGACGAUCCAUAGCUGGUCUGAGAGGAUGAUCAGCCACACUGGGACUGAGACACGGCCCAGACUCCUACGGGAGGCAGCAGUGGGGAAUAUUGCGCAAUGGGCGAAAGCCUGACGCAGCCAUGCCGCGUGUGUGAAGAAGGCUUUCGGGUUGUAAAGCACUUUAAGCAGGGAGGAAAAGUUCAUACCUAAUACGUAUGAACCGUGACGUUACCUGCAGAAUAAGCACCGGCUAACUCCGUGCCAGCAGCCGCGG
RNAcentral lists this ribosomal RNA (432 nucleotides) under uncultured Gammaproteobacteria bacterium. RNAcentral's name for it is "bacterial SSU rRNA". It matches the Rfam family "Bacterial small subunit ribosomal RNA", at positions 94 to 520 of the family's 1533-position model. The record is from RNAcentral. Lineage: Bacteria; Pseudomonadati; Pseudomonadota; Gammaproteobacteria.